RNAcentral lists this ribosomal RNA (450 nucleotides) under uncultured bacterium. Its description in RNAcentral is "partial 16S ribosomal RNA". It matches the Rfam family "Bacterial small subunit ribosomal RNA", at positions 39 to 523 of the family's 1533-position model. The record is from RNAcentral.
GCCGCAUGCUUAACACAUGCAAGUCGAACGGAAUAAUUUAGCUUGCUAACUUAUUUAGUGGCAAACGGGUGAGUAACGCGUGGGAAUCUACCUUGUAGUACGGAAUAACAAUUAGAAAUGAUUGCUAAUACCGUAUGGUCUCUUCGGAGUAACGAUUUAUCUCUACAAGAUGAGCCCGCGUAAGAUUAGCUAGUUGGUGGGGUAAUGGCCUACCAAGGCAACGAUAUUUAGCUGGUCUGAGAGGACGGCCGGCCACACUGGGACGGAGACACUGCCCAGACACCUACGGGAGGCAUCAGUGGGGAAUAUUGGGCAAUGGGCGAAAGCCUGAGUCAGCGAUGCCGCGUGAAUGAUGAAGGCCUUAGGGUUGUUAAGUUCUUUUAGUGGGGGAAAUAAUGAUGGUACCCACAGAAAAAGCUCCGACUAACUCCGUGCCAGCCGCCGCAGUAA